AAUAGAUACCCCGGUAGUCCACGCCGUAAACGAUGGGUACUAGGUGUCUGGGGGAGCGACCCCCUGGGUGCCGACGCUAACGCAUGAAGUACCCCGCCUGGGGAGUACGGCCGCAAGGCUGAAACUCAAAGGAAUUGACGGGGGCCCGCACAAGCGGUGGAGCAUGUGGUUUAAUUCGACGCAACGCGAAGAACCUUACCUGGGCUUGACAUGCUGAAGAAAGCUUGCGGAAACGUGAGCCCCUCUUCGGAGUUCCAGCACAGAUGCUGCAUGGCUGUCGUCAGCUCGUGUCGUGAGAUGUUGGGUUAAGUCCCGCAACGAGCGCAACCCUCGCCCUUAGUUACCAGCGGGUAAAGCCGGGGACUCUAGGGGGACUGCCGGUGCCAAACCGGAGGAAGGUGGGGAUGACGUCAAGUCAUCAUGGCUCUUACGUCCAGGGCUACACACGUGCUACAAUGGAUCGGACAGAGGGUCGCCAACUCGCGAGAGUGAGCCAAUCCCCGAAACCGGUCCUCAGUUCGGAUUGUAGUCUGCAACUCGACUAC
This 545-nucleotide ribosomal RNA is filed under the name uncultured bacterium. RNAcentral's name for it is "bacterial SSU rRNA". It matches the Rfam family "Bacterial small subunit ribosomal RNA", at positions 777 to 1319 of the family's 1533-position model. The record is from RNAcentral.